Selaginella moellendorffii is the source of this 592-nucleotide long non-coding RNA. RefSeq lists it as uncharacterized. NCBI's taxonomy places the organism in Eukaryota, Viridiplantae, Streptophyta, Lycopodiopsida, Selaginellales, Selaginellaceae. The transcript has 2 exons. The record is from RefSeq and is a predicted model, not a curated record.
GUCAUUCCGCUGGAUGUUCACGCUCACAACGGGGAUGUGAAGCACAAGCUCCAUGAUGCUGUGGCGUGACCACGGGGCUCAAGGCGCUCGUCCAAGUUGUAGAGCUGCAGACAACGAUGGUUCUCUGUCGCUCGCCGAUAACGCAUUGGCUGCCACGCUUGUGUAGCCAGCAGCUCCCCAGCUGGGCUUUUAUGAUCAGCUUGGUGAUCUUACCGUUCCCGAACGCUCUGUGAACUGGCGCUCGAGGAUUACAUGGACGUCUCGCCUCUCAAACUGUGAACCUGCAUUACCACCGACCAAGCCGAGCUUCCGAGCAGGCCAACGUUUGAGCAGCAAAGUCCAGGACCCUAGGUCACGACCAGAAGGCACACCUGCAGAAUCUUGCAAAAUGCAUGAGCUCCAUACCUCCAAAUUUUGCCUCCCAUGCGGGCUCCAGGAUCAAGUCACAGUGUUCUUCCUGAGAAGAGAAGCUAGGCCUCACAGAUCCCUAUGUUCAACUCGCAGCACUCACUACUGUGCCUCUACCACAUGAGCUGGGUUCAAACUUCCAUGUCUUUUAGUUUGUAUUAUCGCACAGGCUACAGUUUUUACC